Molecule: non-coding RNA, 1068 nt
Organism: Triticum urartu
Lineage: Eukaryota; Viridiplantae; Streptophyta; Magnoliopsida; Poales; Poaceae
Source: RefSeq, a predicted model, not a curated record
UCCCACCGUACUGCCUGGGCAGCGCUGUCGCCGUCGUGUGUGGGGAAACCAGCACUGUACCAAGGUCAAGUGCACCGAGCUCGUCCAUUGUGGUUUAGACCAGCUUUUGCCUUUCCUUGAAUUCUCUUGUUCAUAUUUAUGCAUGUUUCCUGAUUCCCCUUUUCUCAUCUGUGAUGUGAUGCUCAUACGAAAAGGAAGAGUAAGAAGAAAUCUAUGAAAGAUGGUAAAUUGGCAAUAGAAGAACAUGUAGGUGUAGAUGCUGGUUGAUGCUGGCACUUGGACUCUUAUCUCAGAGUAAAUUAGCUUCAGAUAUCAGAAUAGUACACUGGUUCAGAAAUCAGAAUAACUACUAUCUGGGUGCAACUUGCUGGCAGGGCAGUUAAAUUAGAUAUCUUAUUUUUCAUUGUAUCUUGCUUAUUACUUUUACAAAUUAGUGUUCAAGACAAUCUUCUGUUGUUGCAUUCCACCAAGUUAGCUUACAGCCGAAGAUAGUUUAUCCAAUCCAAAUGAUGUAGGUCGAACAAAACUUAUGGCUGGGGUAAAAAUAUUUGUGGUGAUCAGCAUCUUCCUCUCGCUUCGCUGUUAAGAUGUCGACGCGGCGCUACGCACCGGAUGAUUUAUACUACUACCAUGUUUUUUAUGUUGGGUCUGAGAAACUAGAGAAUUCAUGCCUCUUUGCCAUGCCAAGAGUAUUCUAGGGAUUUCUUAUGAAUAUACUGUAUGUAAUAUGGGAUGGCUAUUUUGAUUAAGAGAUCAAUUUUUAUGCAGGUUUAUCUACACACUUCUCAGCCUGGGAAUCAUCAUGUGCUUGCUGACCUGCUCGGGCCACAUCGCCGCUGAAACUGCAAACAGCCCCUGCCUGUCUUGUCACGUGAUCUUUGUAUUCUUGCUUGUGAUACUGGAAGCUGCAAUCGCCGCCGAUGUAUUUCUGAAUAGCUACUGGGAGGAGGACAAAUCCCACCAGACUUGGCUCUAAUUGAAGUUAUCAUAAGAGUAAGCAAUCAGCACUUGUUGUUCUGUUUUCUGAUUCUAUUGAGAAAGCUCAAAAUUUGCAGUGUAAGAUCAAAC